UACGGGGGGGGCAAGCGUUGUUCGGAAUUACUGGGCGUAAAGGGCUCGUAGGCGGCCCACUAAGUCAGACGUGAAAUCCCUCGGCUUAACCGGGGAACUGCGUCUGAUACUGGAGGGCUUGAGUUUGGGAGAGGGAUGCGGAAUUCCAGGUGUAGCGGUGAAGUGCGUAGAUAUCUGGAGGAACACCGGUGGCGAAGGCGGCAUCCUGGACCAAGACUGACGCUGAGGAGCGAAAGCCAGGGGAGCAAACGGG
Molecule: ribosomal RNA, 253 nt
Filed under: uncultured bacterium
Lineage: Bacteria
Description: partial 16S ribosomal RNA
Rfam family: Bacterial small subunit ribosomal RNA
Source: RNAcentral